GACCGCGCUUCUGUUGGCCUCGGCGUGGCAGCACUAGACCUAUGUUGAGUGCUUUGAGCUAGAAACCGGUGUGGCGCGCGCGCCUCCCCGAGCUCUAGUCAGAAGUCCUAGAGAAACCAAGCUGUUUCUUGUCCCGCGAGCCAGGCCAUGCCUCCCACUUCCCAGGCCGCGCGUGUGCGUCGCUGCCCCAGCGUUGUGAAAAGCGGAGCAUCCUCCUUGUAGACCUCGGUUUGCCCCCACCUCCCUGCCAGACAUCUCCCCACGAAAGCAUUCACUGGACGAGGACGUUAGUUUGUAGACCCUUGUCGCCCGAAUAUACCGUGUUCCCUGCCUUCCCCCACGAAUUUGGGAUUCCGAGAACCACCUGCUCAUGGAGGACCCGCCUGGGCAAGUUGGUGGUGGCGGACCUAUGGCCAAGUGGAUGAGCUGUUUUUUCUAAACUAAAACCUCAGCAUUCAGGAUUAAUUACUGUGCUAUUCCGUGCCAUGCUUCAAGUGGGUUUUAGGUUGCAUUUUGGGCUCUGGGUCUCCAAAAGGUUUGCUGUUCUGGACCUUCCUGCGGUUAUGCACUCACUCAACAGUGGAGGUGGAGAUUUGCCAUCUGAGGGAGCAGCAGUGUCUGGGUCGGAGAGUUCAGAAUCAUCGACCAGCUCCUGCCAAAGGCUCAGGCUGGUCUGUCAGAUGCAAGGCCCAUGUGCUCCUGGGCUGUUUCUACCUGAGGUCUAGAGAGCAGGCCCACCUUUCUUGCAUUGCUGUGUGUAAGCAGCCUUAAAUCGACACUUUUCAGAGAAGGUUUUUAUCACCUACUGUUGGAGUAAAGGGCCAGCCCUGCUACAGCUCUGUUGAUGUUUCAAUAAUAUGCGUGCCAUUAUGUGUGGGGUUACAGGCAUGGGCCACCACCACACUUGGCUGAGUAUCUUAGUUUAAAACGUGAAAAGGUUUACCCAUCUUUUAGAAGAUAUGUUAGUAUGUCAGUCUUUUGACAUAUGGUGGAACUAGUCUGGACUGUACUUGCCCAGGUCCAAAGACUGCUGAGUGAUCUCAUAAGAGAGUGAUUCACUACUCGCUAAAACACACAUGUAUGAUCAAAGACACAGAAAAAGGCGAAAGAUGCGAGUGAAUGUGGUCCCUCCAAACCUACCUUUAUUCUUCAUGGUGGUCGCCAGACUGAGAUGCCCAAGGAGAUGAACCCUCCGCCCAGCCAGGGAAGUCGGGAAAGUGGUGGACCCGCGGCUGAGUCCGGAGCCCAGUGGGGCUCAAGGCAGCCGCACUCGAGCGCGCCCCCUGCUGUCAGCCGCACCGAUCCCUCCCAGGGCGCCGAACUCCGCUGCCCAGCCCGCGAGGUUUCCAGGGGCCUCCGUGGAGUCGCAGUGCCGCGAAGAGCUGUGGCUUUUCAAAGGGAUAAAACCUUUUCUUUGAAUUUUGGAUCGCAACUUCUUGUGCUUGAGUAAUGUUUAAUUAAGGUAGUAAUUAAAUUACAUAAUUAAAGUAACACCCACAGCUGGAAAAACUGGUUCUGGAAGAAAUCCAUUUGACUCAUGGUAAACCAGACGUCCAGCUUCUGGCGGCAGAGGUGCAUGGUCACAUCAGAGUGUAGCUGAGAAGUAUCAGGAAGCCCACGUUUCAAGGUGUAGUCAACACCUUGAGGUGAAGACUACGGUUAUUCUGUACAGAUCUGUAAUUACCACAAAAUCUCUUCAUGUUGGAGUUGGGCCGUCUUUCUCCCUCUGUCCAUCUACAAUUACUUUGUACAGAUGAUGUAUACUCGAGUAAUUUCUUUUUUUUUUUUUUUUUUUUUUGGUAUUAGAUACUGAGCUCAGGGUCGUCUUCAUUGAGCUCCACGUACAGACCUUUUUGGAAUUUUUUGUUUUGAUACAGGGUCCAAGUUGCUGACUUUGCCCAGACUGGACCCAAACUUAGAUCCUCCUGUCUCAGCUUAGCAGAGCCCUGAGGUUACUGGUGUUUGGCACCACGAGCUGCUUCCAUCAGUAACUUGAAAAGGGUCCCCUACCAUAAAGGAGAGACCCAAAGAGCCCAGCUGAGUGCCCGGAUCCCACGGCAAUGUCCUGUACAAGUCCAGGUGGAGGCCCAGAGUAGAUGACAAUGUCCCGUGCAAGUCUGUAUGACAGAUCUGCGCUGGGGAGCCCUAAAGACCAGUGAUGGAAGCUAGAAAGUCUGUGCCAGCGGGUGAAGGAUCUGUGCCAGCAGGCUGAGAGAUCUGCACUGGAGCCAGGGAUUAAAGCUUAAGGUAAAGAAGCCUAGCCACCCUCAGCAACAGUGGUAUCCUGAGCUCCUUCAAGGAUGAGAACAGCCGAGUUCGUAUCAGAAAAACCAGUGUGACAAGCUUUUCCAGGAGAAUCACCAGUGCACAUAUUCCCCUCCAGUUCUGCUCUUACGAUGCUGGCAGCGAUUCUCAGGGGGCCCUCCACACGCAGCAUCGCGCUCAGUGCCGCUGGGGGCUCCAAGUUGCCCAGUAGUUCAUCCACCGACUCAUUAAUUCAGCUCAUUACUUCCAUGUUUAGAUCAAACUCCUCAAAUUCCUGCCUGGGAGAUAAUUUGGACUGCUGGUUCCUGUCUUCAGGCCAAUUUGAAUGAGGAAUGAAAGCCGGAAAUCACAGGCCGUCUUCGACGGCACAAGAAUGCUCUCACUCCUGUCUGUGUGUGGCAGUGCACACACAGGCUACAUGGGGUCUGCUGCAGUGCUUGCCUGUCCACUCCAGCUGUGGACAGUUCACACAGAAGCGUGCUGCACAGAACAUUGUACCAGUACUGUGGAUGUUAUCUCCCAAAAAUAAAUUUCCUCAUUCCUGAGUAAGGCUAUUUCUACUUCCAAAUCAAGUCGUCUUCACGUCUUCACGAUACAGUCUACGUCUUCUGAUGUGCUUCCCAGGCGCUGAGGAUGGUGAGGAGGGGCUGCGGGUUUGCUGUCUCGGAAGCAAAGCAAGUCUUCAUUCUCGCAGUGUGGCAGCUCGGGGCCGGCUCCUGCCCCCACCCCAUGGGUCAGGACACACACUUUGGGCACAGUGUCCAGGCUCCUAGACGCCAGGAUGGAGUCACUGCCUCCUGGGCAGAGCUACAGCACCCUCUAAACCCAGGAGCAGGCCUCGGGGCUGCAGCCUGCACUGCCUCCCAAGACUAGACCGGCCUUGAACUCGUGAUUCUCUUGGCUCAGCCUCCCAAGUGCUACAGAAUGACAGAUGUGUGCUACCAUGACUGGCUGCUGCCUUUAAUAAACGUGAAAGCUUGCCA
Cavia porcellus (domestic guinea pig) is the source of this 3248-nucleotide long non-coding RNA. RefSeq lists it as uncharacterized. The record is from RefSeq and is a predicted model, not a curated record. Lineage: Eukaryota; Metazoa; Chordata; Mammalia; Rodentia; Caviidae. The transcript has 6 exons.